AUGUCAUGAUGAGGACAUUUUUGCAAUAGCUCCUUGAAUUGCUCCCAUGCAUCAUAGAGAGAUUCUUCAUCAAAUUGGUGAAAUGUAGCAAUUUCAUUUUUGAGUUU
Gossypium hirsutum (cotton) is the source of this 107-nucleotide non-coding RNA. The record is from Rfam. Lineage: Eukaryota; Viridiplantae; Streptophyta; Magnoliopsida; Malvales; Malvaceae.